CGGUACUUAAUGAAUAAGCCCCGGCUAAUUAUGUGCCAGCAGCCGCGGUAAUACAUAAGGGGCGAGCGUUAUCCGGAAUUAUUGGGCGUAAAGGGUGCGUAGGCGGUUUAAUAAGUCUAUAGUUUAAUUUCAGUGCUUAACGCUGUUGUGCUAUAGAAACUGUUUUACUAGAGUGAGUUAGAGGCAAGCGGAAUUCCAUGUGUAGCGGUAAAAUGCGUAAAUAUAUGGAGGAACACCAGAGGCGUAGGCGGCUUGCUGGGACUUUACUGACGCUGAGGCACGAAAGCGUGGGGAGCAAACAGGAUUAGAUACCCUGGUAGUCCACGCCGUAAACGAUGAGUACUAAGUGUCGGGUAAAACCGGUACUGAAGUUAACACAUUAAGUACUCCGCCUGAGUAGUACGUACGCAAGUAUGAAACUUAAAGGAAUUGACGGGACUCCGCACAAGCGGUGGAUCAUGUUGUUUAAUUCGAAGAUACACGAAAAACCUUACCAGGUCUUGACAUUUUCUUGCGAAGUUAUAGAAAUAUAAUGGAGGUUAUCAGGAAAACAGGUGGUGCAUGGUUGUCGUCAGCUCGUGUCGUGAGAUGUUAGGUUAAGUCCUAAAACGAGCGCAACCCUUGUCGUUAAUUGCCAGCAUGUAAUGAUGGGGACUUUAACGAGACUGCCAAUGAAAAAUUGGAGGAAGGUGGGGAUUACGUCAAAUCAUCAUGCCCCUUAUGAUCUGGGCUACAAACGUGAUACAAUGGUUGAUACAAAGAGUAGCUGAAACGCGAGUUCUUAGCCAAUCUCACAAAAUCAAUCUCAGUUCGGAUUGAAGUC
This 823-nucleotide ribosomal RNA is filed under the name Cassava frogskin disease phytoplasma. RNAcentral's name for it is "bacterial SSU rRNA". It matches the Rfam family "Bacterial small subunit ribosomal RNA", at positions 473 to 1305 of the family's 1533-position model. The record is from RNAcentral. Lineage: Bacteria; Bacillati; Mycoplasmatota; Mollicutes; Acholeplasmatales; Acholeplasmataceae.